This is a long non-coding RNA of Scophthalmus maximus (turbot), 536 nucleotides long. RefSeq lists it as uncharacterized. The transcript is spliced from 2 exons. Lineage: Eukaryota; Metazoa; Chordata; Actinopteri; Pleuronectiformes; Scophthalmidae. The record is from RefSeq and is a predicted model, not a curated record.
GCAGGUCACAGAAGUCUGCAGGCCCCACUGGAGUGGUACCAGUAAGAAACUGGCAGCAUCACCAGUCUGCUGUUGGUUCAUGCCAGCACCACGAAAAAAAAUAUCUGUGGGAUCCUGGACUUCUCAACAUUUGCGUACCAUGCAGGACUGAAUCAAAGUGCAAUGCAGCAUUCAACAGAUGCAGGAGAUGCUCUUAAACUACAACCAAAUGCACAACGUACAAUUAAUGCUCUUGUGCCUCAGUCUGCUGAACCCCCCCCCCAAAAAAAACAUGGUAGACUUCCACUUGCCUGCUUCUGCACACAAUAAAAACUCAAGGCUCAUCUCGAUAAAGAUGGUCAUAUUCUCGUCAGUGCUCUUAAAACUGGUAAGACAAUAUGCUAAAAAACAGAUGAACAACUAUUUCCGUAUGGUUGGGUUUGUGGGGAUUUUUUCUACUUAAAAGAUGGUGUACCUUUAUGGACAAUAUGAACACAUCAAAUAAAUAUGAAAGGAUAACAUCAAAAAGGAGAAUAAAGACAUUUUUAUGAACUGUC